This is an RNA transcript of Chrysoperla carnea, 1395 nucleotides long. RefSeq lists it as uncharacterized. The record is from RefSeq and is a predicted model, not a curated record. NCBI's taxonomy places the organism in Eukaryota, Metazoa, Arthropoda, Insecta, Neuroptera, Chrysopidae. The transcript has 6 exons.
UGUUUAGGAAAAUGUACCCAAAUUUUUGGUUUAAAAUAAAAAAUUAAUAGAUAAUAAUAAUGAAUACACAAAAUAAUAAAUUAUUUUUCGAUUAUAAGGAAAAAGAUUGCAAUUACUGUCCAACCAAACCAAUAUUAGAUCAAUUCAAAAAUUAUACAGGAUCACCAGAAGAUUGUGAACGUCUAAAAAAUUAUAUUGCUACGGAGAUUGGCCACACAAAACCAACAUACACAUCUAAUGUAAGAGCACCAAAGCAGCCACCGACAGUUUAUCCGAGGCAACAACAUCCAUUUAAUGCUAACCAACCACAGCAAGAUAAUCUAAGGCAGCAACAACUAAAUAAGCAAAAGCCAUAUUCAACUCACUAUAAUCCAACACCAAGGAUUGAUUUGAAGAGUGUUCCAUUCAAAUUUGAUUUAAACAAAUAUAAUCAAACAAAUGAUCCAAAAAGUGUUUCGAGAAGCAGCGUUCCUAUAGGAUGCUGUAACAAUACUGAGUAUAUUUGUUUUAAAACAUCAUCGCCAUCAUCACCGCCUAUUUUAAUUCAAGGUCCUCCUUGUCAGACAAAUAAUAAUAGUGUUACAUGCUGCAUUCAAAACUCAUACAAUCAAGUUUUGAGUUCAAAUCAAGUAGAAAAACCACAACGACAGCUAGUAAACCAAAGACAGCUCACUCAAGUAAAUAAGGCCGUUAAAUGUCUACCUAAUAGACGCAAAAGACCGGAGCCAUGUAAUAGAGAAAAUUGUGUGCAUAAAACACCAGAAAGUAUAUGUUUGUAUGGUCAACCAUGUAAGGCUCAUUGUUUUAAUACCCCACCUGCAGGAAGGCGGAAUGCUUAAAUGAUUCUAAUUAAUAACUUUGUUCAUGGAUUGGUAGAUAAAGUUAAAAAUCGACUUAUAGUGGAAUAAAAAAAAGUAACUUGCAUAGUUAUGUAUCACGUUAGUAUUCAAAAUACAGGAACAAGUGUGUGAAUUUGAAGAUUAAAGAUUUUCUAUUAAUCGGCAAUCGAAGAUAUCAAUGAAUAUUAAAUUUUUUCUCUUUCGUAAAUUUUGAUAUCACUGGGUGAUUGGAAGCGGGAAAUAUUUUUCUUUGUAUGAAAUGGUUACUAUCCGUAUCAUAUGUAUGGUUAGUCAUUUGAAUUAUGAGUAACUAAACUACAUACAACCAAAUUAUGUUGAUAGACAACAAUUUUGGACUGUGCGAGACACAUAAACAUUUGACCUUACCGUAACAUCGUAACACUAAAAAUUGAUUAAUAUUUAUAAAUUAACUUACGCUGGAUUCACAAAACUCUAAAAUAAAUGAUGCAAAAGAAGUCAAAAAUGGCUUUAGAGAUUAAAUAUAUUAUACCUAAAUAAAUAAUAGAAAUAUUACCCUUCUAAAGUGCAACCGUGC